CUGGUGCUGAGGAGUCCCAUAAUAGGACGAAACGGCCGUCCAG
Non-coding RNA from Schistosoma mansoni, 43 nucleotides. Lineage: Eukaryota; Metazoa; Platyhelminthes; Trematoda; Strigeidida; Schistosomatidae. The record is from Rfam.